Molecule: ribosomal RNA, 2829 nt
Filed under: Mesorhizobium sp.
Lineage: Bacteria; Pseudomonadati; Pseudomonadota; Alphaproteobacteria; Hyphomicrobiales; Phyllobacteriaceae
Description: 23S ribosomal RNA
Rfam family: Bacterial large subunit ribosomal RNA
Source: RNAcentral
GAUCAAGUGUCUUAAGGGCAAUUGGUGGAUGCCUUGGCAUGCACAGGCGAUGAAGGACGUGAUACGCUGCGAUAAGCUACGGGGAGGUGCGAAUACCCUUUGAUCCGUAGAUUUCCGAAUGGGGAAACCCACCUAAGGUACUUGGAAAAUCAGAGCAGCCGGAAGGUCGCAAGGCCGACUUGCUGCUGUGGUUUCCAAGUAUCGAUAAUAGGUAACUUACCCUGAAUACAUAGGGGUAAAGUGGCGAACGCGGGGAACUGAAACAUCUAAGUACCCGUAGGAAAGGACAUCAACCGAGACUCCGGAAGUAGUGGCGAGCGAACCCGGACCAGGCCAGUGGCGAUUGAGAGACAAGCGGAACCUUCUGGAAAGUAGGGCCAUAGUGGGUGACAGCCCCGUACGCGUAAUGCAAUCAAUCGUCCUCGAGUAAGGCGGGACACGUGAAAUCCUGUCUGAAAUUGGGGGGACCACCCUCCAAGCCUAAGUACUCGUGCAUGACCGAUAGCGAACUAGUACCGUGAGGGAAAGGUGAAAAGCACCCCGACAAGGGGAGUGAAAGAGUACCUGAAACCGAUUGCCUACAAACAGUGGAAGCCCAAGGUUCGUCCUGGGUGACCACGUACCUUUUGUAUAAUGGGUCAGCGACUUAGUGUGACGAGCAAGCUUAAACCGCUAGGUGUAGGCGCAGCGAAAGCGAGUCUGAACAGGGCGUUCAGUUCGUCGCAUUAGACCCGAAACCGAGUGAUCUAGCCAUGAGCAGGUUGAAGGUAAGGUAACACUUACUGGAGGACCGAACCCAUAACUGUUGCAAUAGUUCGGGAUGACUUGUGGCUAGGGGUGAAAGGCCAAUCAAACUCGGAAAUAGCUGGUUCUCCGCGAAAUCUAUUUAGGUAGAGCGUCGACCGAAUACCCCAGGGGGUAGAGCACUGGAUGGGCUAGGGGUCCUCACCGGAUUACCAAACCUAACCAAACUCCGAAUACCUGGGAGUACUAGUCGGCAGACACACGGCGGGUGCUAACGUCCGUCGUGAAAAGGGAAACAACCCUGACCUACAGCUAAGGUCCCCAAGUUAUGGCUAAGUGGGAAAGGAUGUGAGGAUCCCAAAACAACCAGGAUGUUGGCUUAGAAGCAGCCAUCAUUUAAAGAAAGCGUAACAGCUCACUGGUCUAAAUAAGGGUCUUUGCGCCGAAAAUGUAACGGGGCUAAAGCCAUACACCGAAGCUUAGGGUUUGGUCCGCAAGGGCCAAGCGGUAGCGGAGCGUUCUGUAAGCUGAUGAAGCCAUACCCGUGAGGGGUGGUGGAGGUAUCAGAAGUGCGAAUGCUGACAUGAGUAACGUAAGGGGAGUGAGAGACUCCCCCGCCGAAAGACCAAGGGUUCCUGCUUAAAGCUAAUCUGAGCAGGGUUAGCCGGCCCCUAAGACGAGGCGGAAACGCGUAGUCGAUGGGAACCACGUUAAUAUUCGUGGGCUUGGAGGUAGUGACGGAUCAUUGAGGUAGUCCAAUCUUAUCGGAUUGAACGGGCUGCUGCGUGGUUCCAGGAAAUAGCUCCUCCUUAUAAACCGUACCCGAAACCGACACUGGUGGUCUGGUAGAGUAUACCAAGGCGCUUGAGAGAACUAUGCUGAAGGAACUCGGCAAAUUGCACGCGUAACUUCGGAAGAAGCGUGACCCUUUUCUACGCAAGUAGAGGAGGGUGGCACAGACCAGGGGGUAGCGACUGUUUAUCAAAAACACAGGGCUCUGCGAAGUCGCAAGACGACGUAUAGGGUCUGACGCCUGCCCGGUGCUGGAAGGUUAAGAGGAGGGGUGCAAGCUCUGAAUCGAAGCCCCAGUAAACGGCGGCCGUAACUAUAACGGUCCUAAGGUAGCGAAAUUCCUUGUCGGGUAAGUUCCGACCUGCACGAAUGGCGUAACGACUUCCCCGCUGUCUCCAGCAUAGACUCAGUGAAAUUGAAUUCCCCGUGAAGAUGCGGGGUUCCUGCGGUUAGACGGAAAGACCCCGUGCACCUUUACUAUAGCUUUACAUUGGCAUUCGUAGUGGCAUGUGUAGGAUAGGUGGUAGGCUUUGAAACCUGGGCGCCAGCUCAGGUGGAGCCACCCUUGAAAUACCACCCUUAUUACUAUGGAUGUCUAACCGCGGCCCGUUAUCCGGGUCCGGGACAAUGUAUGGUGGGUAGUUUGACUGGGGCGGUCGCCUCCUAAAGAGUAACGGAGGCGCGCGAUGGUGGGCUCAGAACGGUCGGAAAUCGUUCGCUGAGUGCAAUGGCAUAAGCCUGCCUGACUGCGAGACUGACAAGUCGAGCAGAGACGAAAGUCGGUCAUAGUGAUCCGGUGGUCCCGCGUGGAAGGGCCAUCGCUCAACGGAUAAAAGGUACGCCGGGGAUAACAGGCUGAUGACCCCCAAGAGUCCAUAUCGACGGGGUUGUUUGGCACCUCGAUGUCGACUCAUCGCAUCCUGGGGCUGGAGCAGGUCCCAAGGGUAUGGCUGUUCGCCAUUUAAAGCGGUACGUGAGUUGGGUUCAGAACGUCGUGAGACAGUUCGGUCCCUAUCUGCCGUGGGUGUAGGAAUAUUGAAAGGAUCUGUCCCUAGUACGAGAGGACCGGGAUGGACGGAUCUCUGGUGGACCUGUUGUGGCGCCAGCCGCAUAGCAGGGUAGCUAUAUCCGGACGGGAUAACCGCUGAAGGCAUCUAAGCGGGAAACCCACCUUAAAACGAGUAUUCCCUGAGAACCGUGGAAGACGACCACGUUGAUAGGCCGGGUGUGGAAGAGCGGCAACGCUUGAAGCUUACCGGUACUAAUAGUUCGAUCGGCUUGAUCGUUCUCAUU